UUUGAUUAUGGCUCAGGACGAACGCUGGCGGCGUGCUUAACACAUGCAAGUCGAACGCUGAAGCCCCGAGCUUGCUCGGGUGGAUGAGUGGCGAACGGGUGAGUAACACGUGAGUAACCUGCCCAUGUCUCUGGGAUAAGCGCUGGAAACGGCGUCUAAUACUGGAUACGAGCAUCCACUGCAUGGUGAGGUGUUGGAAAGAUUUAUCGGACAUGGAUGGACUCGCGGCCUAUCAGCUAGAUGGUGAGGUAAUGGCUCACCAUGGCGACGACGGGUAGCCGGCCUGAGAGGGUGACCGGCCACACUGGGACUGAGACACGGCCCAGACUCCUACGGGAGGCAGCAGUGGGGAAUAUUGCACAAUGGGCGCAAGCCUGAUGCAGCAACGCCGCGUGAGGGAUGACGGCCUUCGGGUUGUAAACCUCUUUUGUCAGGGAAGAAGCGAAAGUGACGGUACCUGGAGAAAAAGCACCGGCUAACUACGUGCCAGCAGCCGCGGUAAUACGUAGGGUGCAAGCGUUGUCCGGAAUUAUUGGGCGUAAAGAGCUCGUAGGCGGCUUGUCGCGUCUGCUGUGAAAACCCGAGGCUCAACCUCGGGCCUGCAGUGGGUACGGGCAGGCUAGAGUGCGGUAGGGGAGAUUGGAAUUCCUGGUGUAGCGGUGGAAUGCGCAGAUAUCAGGAGGAACACCGAUGGCGAAGGCAGAUCUCUGGGCCGCUACUGACGCUGAGGAGCGAAAGCAUGGGGAGCGAACAGGAUUAGAUACCCUGGUAGUCCAUGCCGUAAACGUUGGGAAACUAAAUGUAGGGCCUGUUCCAACGGGUUCUGUGUCGUAGCUAACGCAUUAAGUUCCCCGCCUGGGGAGUACGGCCGCAAGGCUAAAACUCAAAGGAAUUGACGGGGGCCCGCACAAGCGGCGGAGCAUGCGGAUUAAUUCGAUGCAACGCGAAGAACCUUACCAAGGCUUGACAUAUACGAGAACACUGCAGAGAUGCAGGACUCUUUGGACACUCGUAUACAGGUGGUGCAUGGUUGUCGUCAGCUCGUGUCGUGAGAUGUUCGGUUAAGUCCGGCAACGAGCGCAACCCUCGUCCUAUGUUGCCAGCACGUUAUGGUGGGAACUCAUGGGAUACUGCCGUGGUCAACACGGAGGAAGGUGGGGAUGACGUCAAAUCAUCAUGCCCCUUAUGUCUUGGGCUUCACGCAUGCUACAAUGGCCGAUACAAAGGGCUGCGAUACCGCGAGGUGGAGCGAAUCCCAAAAAGUCGGUCUCAGUUCGGAUUGGGGUCUGCAACUCGACCCCAUGAAGUCGGAGUCGCUAGUAAUCGCAGAUCAGCAACGCUGCGGUGAAUACGUUCCCGGGCCUUGUACACACCGCCCGUCAAGUCAUGAAAGUCGGUAACACCCGAAGCCGGUGGCCUAACCCCUUGUGGGAGGGAGCUGUCGAAGGUGGGACUGGUGAUUAGGACUAA
Molecule: ribosomal RNA, 1470 nt
Filed under: Leucobacter chironomi
Lineage: Bacteria; Bacillati; Actinomycetota; Actinomycetes; Micrococcales; Microbacteriaceae
Description: 16S ribosomal RNA
Rfam family: Bacterial small subunit ribosomal RNA
Source: RNAcentral